GAGCGGCGAACGGGUGAGUGAUAGCUGGGAAUCUACCUAUAGGAGGGGGAUAGCCACUGGAAACGGUGGGUAAUACCGCAUACGGUCGAGAGACGAAAGUGAGGGGACUUGAAAAAGCCUUCAGCCGAUAGAUGAGCCCCAGCGAAGAUUAGCUAGUAGGUUUGGUAAUGGCAGACCUAGGCGACGAUCUUGAGCUGGUCUGAGAGGAUGGACAGCCACACUGGGACUGAGAUACGGCCCAG
RNAcentral lists this ribosomal RNA (242 nucleotides) under uncultured bacterium. Its description in RNAcentral is "partial 16S ribosomal RNA". It matches the Rfam family "Bacterial small subunit ribosomal RNA", at positions 93 to 334 of the family's 1533-position model. The record is from RNAcentral.